AUACUUACCUGGCAGGGGUGAUACCAUGAUCAUGAAGGUGGUUUCCUCAGGGCAAGGCUCAUCUAUUGUACUCCAGAUAUGCUGGCCCCUGUGAUUUCUCCAAAUGUGGGAAACUGGACUGCAUAAUUUGUUGUAGUGGAGGGGACUGCAUUGGUGUUUUCCUGUG
Molecule: small nuclear RNA, 166 nt
Organism: Capra hircus (goat)
Lineage: Eukaryota; Metazoa; Chordata; Mammalia; Artiodactyla; Bovidae
Gene: U1
Rfam family: U1 spliceosomal RNA
About the family: U1 is a small nuclear RNA (snRNA) component of the spliceosome (involved in pre-mRNA splicing). Its 5' end forms complementary base pairs with the 5' splice junction, thus defining the 5' donor site of an intron.
Source: Ensembl